This is a non-coding RNA of Acanthosepion pharaonis, 111 nucleotides long. NCBI's taxonomy places the organism in Eukaryota, Metazoa, Mollusca, Cephalopoda, Sepiida, Sepiidae. The record is from the annotation of a GenBank genome assembly.
CAGCCAUGUCAUGUUGAAACACCAGUUCUUGUACAAUCACUGAAGUUAAGCAAUGUCGAGCCUGGUCAGUAACUAGAUGGAUGGCCACUUGGGAACAGCAGGUGUUGUAAG